GAUGAACGCUGGCGGCGUGCCUAAUACAUGCAAGUCGAGCGAACGGACGAGAAGCUUGCUUCUCUGAUGUUAGCGGCGGACGGGUGAGUAACACGUGGAUAACCUACCUAUAAGACUGGGAUAACUUCGGGAAACCGUAGCUAAUACCGGAUAAUAUUUUGAACCGCAUGGUUCAAAAGUGAAAGACGGUCUUGCUGUCACUUAUAGAUGGAUCCGCGCUGCAUUAGCUAGUUGGUAAGGUAACGGCUUACCAAGGCAACGAUGCAUAGCCGACCUGAGAGGGUGAUCGGCCACACUGGAACUGAGACACGGUCCAGACUCCUACGGGAGGCAGCAGUAGGGAAUCUUCCGCAAUGGGCGAAAGCCUGACGGAGCAACGCCGCGUGAGUGAUGAAGGUCCUCGGAUCGUAAAACUCUGUUAUUAGGGAAGAACAUAUGUGUAAGUAACUGUGCACAUCUUGACGGUACCUAAUCAGAAAGACACGGCUAACUACGUG
Molecule: ribosomal RNA, 497 nt
Filed under: uncultured bacterium
Lineage: Bacteria
Description: partial 16S ribosomal RNA
Rfam family: Bacterial small subunit ribosomal RNA
Source: RNAcentral